This 493-nucleotide ribosomal RNA is filed under the name uncultured bacterium. RNAcentral describes it as "bacterial SSU rRNA". It matches the Rfam family "Bacterial small subunit ribosomal RNA", at positions 30 to 521 of the family's 1533-position model. The record is from RNAcentral.
AUUGAACGCUGGCGGCAUGCCUUACACAUGCAAGUCGAACGGUAACAGGUCUUCGGAUGCUGACGAGUGGCGAACGGGUGAGUAAUACAUCGGAACGUGCCCGAUCGUGGGGGAUAACGGAGCGAAAGCUUUGCUAAUACCGCAUACGAUCUACGGAUGAAAGCAGGGGACCGCAAGGCCUUGCGCGGACGGAGCGGCCGAUGGCAGAUUAGGUAGUUGGUGGGAUAAAAGCUUACCAAGCCGACGAUCUGUAGCUGGUCUGAGAGGACGACCAGCCACACUGGGACUGAGACACGGCCCAGACUCCUACGGGAGGCAGCAGUGGGGAAUUUUGGACAAUGGGCGCAAGCCUGAUCCAGCCAUGCCGCGUGCAGGAUGAAGGCCUUCGGUUGUAAACUGCUUUGUACGGACGAAAGACUCUUUCUAAUAAGAGGGUCCAUGACGGUACCGUAACGAAUAAGCACCGGCUAACUACGUAGCCAGCAGCCGCGGU